AAGAAGAAGGAUCUUCCUCUGCUCCACCUGCUCCUGAGAGUCCACGUAACUUGCUGUUUGUGUCUUGCUCACCUAGUGAUUUACUGACCUGCUGGCCUACUAACCUGUCUGAACCCUCCUCCCUCCCCUCUUGUGCUUGAUCUGAUCCUGAUACUGUCCCUGACCCCCUUCUUCUCCUGACACACCCUUCCCUAACCCCACCCCUUUUUUAUACUCCUCCCCCAUCUCCAAUUACCACCCCUCCCCACUUCUCCCUUGCCCACCUAUACCCCAUCCCUGUCUCCACCUCCUGCCUGGAACCCUAGAGUCCCCUUAAAGGACCAGGACAGGAAGGUGCAGAGGCUGUUUUUCCGGCUCCUUGUGCUUGGGUGUCCCGAUUACCCAAACACAAAUCCUGUCCAUAUUUUGCCUGACCAUUUCCCUCUUGGCUCUGAUGUGUUUGAAAUUCUGUGGAAACAUAACAUUAUUACUGCCUCCAUGGGAACUUGUGCUUGUCUAAUUUACCUCUGGAGAACUGUUUUCGCUGUAAAGAGUUGAGUAUAUGAAGAUCAAAUUUCUGAGAAGAUUAAGUACUACAUGAAGAAAAAUGCAAAACGUGCAGAGAAAAUAUCCAUUUGUGAACAGAAGGUAUAACCAUCCCCCCCCUUUUUUUCAUUUUCAUGAUUUCACCUGGAAUUGUGUUCACUUCUGGUUCACUGAUUUUGCCAUCUCCUCUUUCAUCAUCAUGUCCCAUUUCAUUCCAUUCUAUACCAGGCUAAAUUCAAAGCAACCAUCACAUAUGUAAAAUACCACAUUCUUUAUUUUUGUAGUGGCUUACCCACCAGAGAUAGGUUUUUAUGUCAUCAUAAUUAAUAUUUUUGAAUUCUGAAUCCUUUAUUACAUAUUUGUGUGGAUCAAUGGAGCAAAGAAAUGUGCUCAAGAAACCAUGUGGCAAAAUAAGCUUCCCUCUUAUGAAGCACAUAGAUGUAAGACAAAAAUCCCUUCUUUGUCCUGGGGCACCUGGGUGGCUCAGUUGGUUAAACAUCCAACUCUUGGUUUCAGCUCAGGUCAUGAUCUCAUGGUUCGUGAGUUUGAGCUCUUCAUCAGGCUAUGUGCUUAUGGUAGGGAUUCUUUCCCUCUGUCUCUAUCUGCCCUUCCCCUGCUGGCUCACUCUGUCUCUCUUGAAAAAUAAAUUUAAAAAAGAUGUUAAAAUCCCUUCUUUGUCCUUUAAAAAUGGAAGUAAAAGUAAUAAGUAUUCCUGAUGACUAUAUGUUUUGUUGAAGAAUAACAAUGAGACACUUGAGCACACUAAUGAAUUUUUUAAUGACAUCAUUCCAAGUGUGCAGGCUUUGUUGCAAUCUGAGAGAAAUCAGAAUGUCAAGAAUCGGGGCUUCCUGAGUUACCAUAUUUUGAUGUUUGAGCCCUUUUGGUCAUUGGGUAAAUUAAGCCCCUCAACCUUGCAUGCCAUUCACUGCCGUUUCAAGCAGUAACACCAUAGUACCUCUUUUAUUUAGGAGUUAGGCAGAAUUUGUUUUCAUAACCCUGGCUUAACUUUUAUAUGAUUCAGUCCUGCUGGGAGAGAGCACUAGAGGUUUCUCACCAUCUUGAACAGUUCUGUUCCUCUUAAUGCAGAGCAGAGAAUUUUGAAAGUGAAUCUGGUGACAAUAUUUCUCUUCCAUAAAGAAGAGAUUGGAGCUGUUUGGCUUGAAAGAUUUUACACUUUCUUCGUUUUUUCUUUGUCAUCCAGUUACAGUUCCACUGUCUCAAAACCAAGACGGUUGUUCUGAAACAUUUACACCUUCCACUGUUCUCUUCAUCCUUCAUUUCUUUAUGUGUCUGGCUUUUCUCUUUGGCCCAAACUGGAUCGAAUGUUUUACAUGAUACAGGGACUGGCUGUGGGGUAUGUUCUAUCGACAAUGCUUCUUUGUGACACAGUGUCCAGUGUUUGUUUGGAAAGCCUAGUACACAUUUUGUUUCUAUCCUACUUGCAAAUCAGGGAAAGGAAAAAUCUACAAAGAGCUUCAAAGGUGCUAUUUUAGUAAACACUUCAGAAGUUUCAGAAGUAAAUUCCCUCUAUUUCCUGCAGGAUUUCCAUUGUUCACUUUUGCUUUGAAGAAGAACUUAUCUUUGUCUUAGAACAUUAGAUUUAUAUGUUAUCUACUGGGUGAUUUUCUUCUUGGGACGUAAGUCACUAGAGAGAAAGUUUUGCUUAGGUUCACUUCUCCCUUAAUGAAGUUCAUACCAGCAAAGUGAAAUCGAAGUCUGAAGAACAGCCUGUGCAGAAAGAAAAUGCUCAGCUUAAGAUCCACAAGAAUCAGGUAAAAAGGGGAGCCUGGGUGGCU
Long non-coding RNA from Felis catus (domestic cat), 2321 nucleotides. RefSeq lists it as uncharacterized. Lineage: Eukaryota; Metazoa; Chordata; Mammalia; Carnivora; Felidae. The transcript has 4 exons. The record is from RefSeq and is a predicted model, not a curated record.